This 561-nucleotide ribosomal RNA is filed under the name Salinicoccus sediminis. RNAcentral describes it as "bacterial SSU rRNA". It matches the Rfam family "Bacterial small subunit ribosomal RNA", at positions 979 to 1533 of the family's 1533-position model. Lineage: Bacteria; Bacillati; Bacillota; Bacilli; Caryophanales; Staphylococcaceae. The record is from RNAcentral.
UCUUGACAUCCUCUGACCCCCCUGGAGACAGGGGUUCCCUUCGGGGCAGAGUGACAGGUGGUGCAUGGUUGUCGUCAGCUCGUGUCGUGAGAUGUUGGGUUAAGUCCCGCAACGAGCGCAACCCUUAUGACUAGUUGCCAGCAUUGAGUUGGGCACUCUAGUGAGACUGCCGGUGACAAACCGGAGGAAGGUGGGGAUGACGUCAAAUCAUCAUGCCCCUUAUGAUUUGGGCUACACACGUGCUACAAUGGACAGGUACAAAGGGCAGCGAGACCGCGAGGUUGAGCGAAUCCCAUAAAACUGUUCUCAGUUCGGAUUGGAGUCUGCAACUCGACUCCAUGAAGCUGGAAUCGCUAGUAAUCGUGGAUCAGAAUGCCACGGUGAAUACGUUCCCGGGUCUUGUACACACCGCCCGUCACACCACGAAAGUCAGUAACACCUGAAGCCGGUGGGCCAACCCUUCUGGGAGGCAGCCGUCGAAGGUGGGACCGAUGAUUGGGGUGAAGUCGUAACAAGGUAGCCGUAUCGGAAGGUGCGGCUGGAUCACCUCCUUUCUAAGGA